This is a long non-coding RNA of Pipra filicauda (Wire-tailed manakin), 471 nucleotides long. RefSeq lists it as uncharacterized. The record is from RefSeq and is a predicted model, not a curated record. Lineage: Eukaryota; Metazoa; Chordata; Aves; Passeriformes; Pipridae. The transcript has 3 exons.
GGUCUCAUAAGGGCCACUUUAAGUACCAGUGAUCGCAAUUAAAUCCAAACGGAUUUGAAACUUCACCACCUAAUGACAUUGCACUUGGGAAGCAGUUGAUUCACUGGAGUUCAAAUAAUGAUGGAUCAGCAUUGUACAUUAGCAGGACAAAGCUUCUCCAGCAUGAUCAAAAUGGUCAUUCUACCAUGAGAUGGAGGAUCAGCUCUUUCCCAUCAAGUGUCUCUAUCUCUUUGAAAUGGCUGCUGACUCUGAUGGACUAGAAAUAAGCUGGACACUUAAGCAUGGAAUAUUUCACUGCAUUUGUGGACACGGCUUGAAGCAAGUGGAUUUUUCAGGCAGUGGGGUGAGGAGAGUACUGAGCCAUUGUAACACAAUGACCAUUACAAAUAAAUAAAAUGAUGGACUUUUAUCCCAGAGAGACACAAUCCAGCAGUACUGGUUCUUUUGUAAGUUUGUGAGCACUUUAAAGAA